This 461-nucleotide ribosomal RNA is filed under the name uncultured bacterium. Its description in RNAcentral is "partial 16S ribosomal RNA". It matches the Rfam family "Bacterial small subunit ribosomal RNA", at positions 29 to 507 of the family's 1533-position model. The record is from RNAcentral.
ACGAACGCUGGCGGCGUGCUUAACACAUGCAAGUCGAACGGAAAGGCCCUUCGGGGUACUCGAGUGGCGAACGGGUGAGUAACACGUGGGUGAUCUGCCCUGCACUUUGGGAUAAGCCUGGGAAACUGGGUCUAAUACCGAAUGGGACCACGCGCUUCAUGGUGUGUGGUGGAAAGCUUUUGCGGUGUGGGAUGGGCCCGCGGCCUAUCAGCUUGUUGGUGGGGUAAUGGCCUACCAAGGCGACGACGGGUAGCCGGCCUGAGAGGGUGACCGGCCACACUGGGACUGAGAUACGGCCCAGACUCCUACGGGAGGCAGCAGUGGGGAAUAUUGCACAAUGGGCGCAAGCCUGAUGCAGCGACGCCGCGUGAGGGAUGACGGCCUUCGGGUUGUAAACCUCUUUCAAUAGGGACGAAGCGCAAGUGACGGUACCUAUAGAAGAAGCACCGGCCAACUACGUG